CUCUCAUUUCCAGCAAUGAAUCCCAAGAAUACCUACUGAAACAACUAGUCCCAAGAAUAUCUACUGAAACUUCAAACCUGUGUUUGGAGGCAGUUCUGGGAUGAAUGAAGGGGGGAAAGCUGAAAUGAAAUCCAGGUGACUGUCUAAAUGCAGACAUUAGUGGGAUGAGCGGGAGAAGGUGGCUGGGCCGUGUGGAAUGAAAAAGCCUCUAAGUGGAGCAACUAGGCAACCAUCCAAAACGUCCAGAGACAAAACUGUUCCCCAGCCUCAGUGCCAUACAGACCACAAGUGAGGCCUACAACAGCAGCAAUGGCAAGUGGGAAGUCUGCUGUUCUACUCUUCAUCCUUGUGUGGCUCCUGUGCAGUUUCAAGCAUGUUACAGAGGGAAAUAUAAAAUGGGCACAGCCAUACCCAGCAUGAAGAUGCAGUGACAGACAAGGCUAGUGAACUCCUCUGCCUGUCAUGCAGAUUGCAAAGGCAAAGGAGCUGUGUGGCAAGAAAGAAGUUAGCAACCUCAUUCUUUGAUGCUGUCAAAUCAAAUAAGCAAAUUAAA
Hemicordylus capensis (graceful crag lizard) is the source of this 553-nucleotide long non-coding RNA. RefSeq lists it as uncharacterized. The record is from RefSeq and is a predicted model, not a curated record. NCBI's taxonomy places the organism in Eukaryota, Metazoa, Chordata, Lepidosauria, Squamata, Cordylidae. The transcript has 3 exons.